GACGAACGCUGGCGGCGUGCUUAACACAUGCAAGUCGAACGGAAAGGCCCUUCGGGGUACUCGAGUGGCGAACGGGUGAGUAACACGUGGGUGAUCUGCCCUGCACUUUGGGAUAAGCCCGGGAAACUGGGUCUAAUACCGAAUAGGACCACGCGCUUCAUGGUGUGUGGUGGAAAGCUUUUGCGGUGUGGGAUGGGCCCGCGGCCUAUCAGCUUGUUGGUGGGGUAAUGGCCUACCAAGGCGACGACGGGUAGCCGGCCUGAGAGGGUGACCGGCCACACUGGGACUGAGAUACGGCCCAGACUCCUACGGGAGGCAGCAGUGGGGAAUAUUGCACAAUGGGCGCAAGCCUGAUGCAGCGACGCCGCGUGAGGGAUGACGGCCUUCGGGUUGUAAACCUCUUUCACCAGGGACGAAGCGUAAGUGACGGUACCUGGAGAAGAAGCACCGGCCAACUACGUG
This 462-nucleotide ribosomal RNA is filed under the name uncultured bacterium. RNAcentral's name for it is "partial 16S ribosomal RNA". It matches the Rfam family "Bacterial small subunit ribosomal RNA", at positions 28 to 507 of the family's 1533-position model. The record is from RNAcentral.